Molecule: ribosomal RNA, 107 nt
Filed under: Mycoplasmopsis bovis
Lineage: Bacteria; Bacillati; Mycoplasmatota; Mycoplasmoidales; Metamycoplasmataceae
Source: RNAcentral
AUUAGUGGCCAUAGCAAAGGGGAUCACCUGAUACCAUUCCGAACUCAGUAGUUAAGCCCUUUAGCGCCGAAGAUACCAGAGAUGGGAAAAUAGGGAGCUUGCUUUUU